GGAAGGGCAGAUAGCUCUAUAUACACAAAGAGGAAGGUCUCAGUAGAGCAGCCUGUGUGUCUUCUCCGCUGCUGGAGCUCAUCUUGACUGGCCAGGGCUGGUUCCUAAGAAGGAUCCCAGGCACCCAGAGCCUCCUGGGUUUGGAUGUGAGAGGAAAGUCCUGUGACCUCCUUUGCCUCUCCCAUGUCUGGAGAGAAGCUGUAUUUCCGGCUAAUCCAGGAGCGACAGCUCCAGGGUGCACCCCAGGUUCUGACAUGGGGACUUGCAGGACCCCCCCAGGUUGGACCCUGAUGUGCCUGGCACCCCUUGUGAACCCAAGACCUCAACUUCAGCUUCUCCGCACAGCAGCCGUGGCCAGCUGUCAGCCGCCACCUCCUCCGAGAGGCUGGAAUUCCUCGGGCAGAUUUCUCACCCUCGCAGGACUUCCUUCCAGCGUGUCUGGCGACACCUCUCGCGGAACCCACCUCUGCGAGGGAGCCCUCAACUUCCUCCCGGCCUGACCUGCCUGCUCGAGGGUUUCCACGGUCACAAAGUUACCUCAGGGACUAGAAAAGAACCAUCUUUUUGGCCUGGAGCCUCUGAGGUGGG
Molecule: long non-coding RNA, 588 nt
Filed under: Pan troglodytes (chimpanzee)
Lineage: Eukaryota; Metazoa; Chordata; Mammalia; Primates; Hominidae
Description: long non-coding RNA NONPTRT004847
Source: RNAcentral